CUGGAAGAGGCGUUUGGCAUCUACAACUUGACUACUUUAUAUUCGUACGGAAAUUACUCGCCCAUUGUUUUCUCAUCGGCUCCAAGCACGUUGCUGCAUGAGAAGUUUGAUGAAGCUUACCCUUCCAGACAAGAGAUUGCCUAUCGGGCUGAAUUACAAGGCGAGGGCCGCGAGACAAUUUCUAGCGCAGUACCUGCUUUAAGAAAUUCGAUCAACAAAGAAAACGACUAUGUUCACGAUCAGAGAAAAUGGAUUUCUCAAGAGUCCCUGUGCAAUAUAAUUAAACAAUUCUUGUCAAUAGAGGGGAGAGACUCCUUUUCACGGUGUUUUGAACUGUACAAAAAUAGCUUAAGUUGUGAUAAUUAUUUUCUAUUUAACGGCAAGAGAAUAACCAAACGUUUGCUCUUUGAUCUAGUCAGUGAAAUGGUUAUCGCUUAUCAAGAAUUGUACCGCUAUACUUACUUUAACUUUAAAAAUCCUAUACCUACCACAAUAAUUCAAAAGCAAGUUUUUCAAGUUUUAAAUCGCCCGAAAUCAAACGAGCAUAAGGUUGAGCGAGCUAAUAAAAUAAUUUAUUCUCGGAAAUUAGUAAAUAACUCAAUCGUUCACAGUGCAGUUGUUCAAUCUUUGAAGAAUGAAGAAGAUUCUUGGACAAAUUAUGACCAAGAAGAAAAGCAAAGAAAGCUGUUGGUUAGUCGAGAAAUUCUUAAGGAUUUGUUAUGUGACACAACUCAAGUCUUUAGCCAUAUACUUGCCAAGAAAAACGACCUUUUAAGAAAUAAUAUGAAUGAAAAUUACCGCGUCAAUAUGUAAAUUAUUUGAAUGUCGUAAGAUAAGUUGCAUGAUUAGAAUUAA
Long non-coding RNA from Hyalella azteca, 855 nucleotides. RefSeq lists it as uncharacterized. The record is from RefSeq and is a predicted model, not a curated record. The transcript has 2 exons. Lineage: Eukaryota; Metazoa; Arthropoda; Malacostraca; Amphipoda; Hyalellidae.